This 164-nucleotide ribosomal RNA is filed under the name Senecio glaucus subsp. coronopifolius. RNAcentral's name for it is "5.8S ribosomal RNA". It matches the Rfam family "5.8S ribosomal RNA". From Rfam's summary of the family: 5.8S ribosomal RNA (5.8S rRNA) is a component of the large subunit of the eukaryotic ribosome. It is transcribed by RNA polymerase I as part of the 45S precursor that also contains 18S and 28S rRNA. The record is from RNAcentral. Lineage: Eukaryota; Viridiplantae; Streptophyta; Magnoliopsida; Asterales; Asteraceae.
UAAACGACUCUCGGCAACGGAUAUCUCGGCUCACGCAUCGAUGAAGAACGUAGCAAAAUGCGAUACCUGGUGUGAAUUGCAGAAUCCCGUGAACCAUCGAGUUUUUGAACGCAAGUCGCGCCCGAAGCCUUUUGGCCGAGGGCACGUCUGCCUGGGCGUCACAC